UGAGGAAUAUUGCGCAAUGGGGGCAACCCUUCCUCAUCAACGCCGCGUGGGUGAAGAAGGCUUUCGGGUUGUAAAGCCCUGUCAGGUGGGAAGAAACCUCUGCGGGUAAAUAGUCUGCAGAAUUGGCGGUACCACCAAAGGAAGCACCGGCUAACUCCGUGCCAGCAGCCGCGGUAAGACGGAGGGUGCAAGCGUUGUUCGGAAUCACUGGGCGUAAAGCGCGUGUAGGCGGUCCGAUAAGUCAAGAGUGAAAGCCCGAGGCUCAACCUCGGAAGUGCACUCGAAACUGCCGGGCUUGAGUACGGGAGAGGGAAGUGGAAUUCCUGGUGUAGAGGUGAAAUUCGUAGAUAUCAGGAGGAACACCGGUGGCGAAGGCGGCUUCCUGGACCGAUACUGACGCUGAGACACGAAAAAGGGAGGAGAAAACAGG
Molecule: ribosomal RNA, 430 nt
Filed under: uncultured bacterium
Lineage: Bacteria
Description: bacterial SSU rRNA
Rfam family: Bacterial small subunit ribosomal RNA
Source: RNAcentral